UACGGAGGAUGCGAGCGUUAUCCGGAUUUAUUGGGUUUAAAGGGUGCGUAGGCGGCUUUUUAAGUCAGCGGUGAAAUUUUGCAGCUUAACUGUAACAGUGCCGUUGAUACUGGGGAGCUAGGAUUUGGUUGCUGUGGGUGGAAUGUGUGGUGUAGCGGUGAAAUGCUUAGAGAUCAAACAGAAUAUCGAUUGCGAAGGCGGCUCACAAAGCCAAGAUUGACGCUGAGGCACGAAAGUGUGGGGAUCAAACAGGAUUAGAUA
Molecule: ribosomal RNA, 261 nt
Filed under: uncultured prokaryote
Description: partial 16S ribosomal RNA
Rfam family: Bacterial small subunit ribosomal RNA
Source: RNAcentral